This 647-nucleotide ribosomal RNA is filed under the name Sarcogyne nivea. RNAcentral describes it as "SSU rRNA". It matches the Rfam family "Bacterial small subunit ribosomal RNA", at positions 399 to 1113 of the family's 1533-position model. The record is from RNAcentral. Lineage: Eukaryota; Fungi; Ascomycota; Lecanoromycetes; Acarosporales; Acarosporaceae.
GCUAGUUGUAUUAACUUUUAGUUAAUACAAGAUCGACUAUGUCGACUAAAGUUCUAGGUAGAAUAAUGAUGAUGACAAUUUUCUACCUAUAUGUCUUGACCAAAUCUCGUGCCAGCAGUCGCGGUAAUACGUGGAAGACUAGUGUUAUUCAUCUUAAAUAGGUUUAAAGGGUACCUAGACGGUAUAUCUAGCCCAAAACAGGGUACGGAUUAACUAGAGUUUUAUGUGAGAAGGGGAGUACUCUUAGAGUAAAGAUGAAAUUUUAUGAUACUAUGAGGAAACUGGUGGCGGCGAAAGCAACCUUCUAUGUAUAAACUGACGUUGAGGGACGAAGGCUUGGGUAGCAAAUAGGAUUAGAUACCCUAGUAGUCCAAGCAGACAAUUCUGAAUGCCAUAGAUUAGAUUUUUUUGAUUUAUAAAUGAAAGUGUAAGCAUUCCACCUUAGGAGUAAUGUGGCAACACAGGAACUGAAAUCAUUAGACCGUUUCUGAAACCAGUAGUGAAGUAUGUUAUUUAAUUUGAUAGUCCUCAAAAAACCUUACCACAACUUGAAUGUUAUUUAAUUAAUACAAGCGUUGCACGGCUGUCUUCAGUUAAUGUCGUGAGAUUUUGGUUAACUCCUUAAAUUAACGUAAACCCAUACUUUA